RNAcentral lists this long non-coding RNA (511 nucleotides) under Prunus persica (peach). Its description in RNAcentral is "long non-coding RNA (PPER_LNC001400)". The record is from RNAcentral. Lineage: Eukaryota; Viridiplantae; Streptophyta; Magnoliopsida; Rosales; Rosaceae.
CCUUCCAACCAACAGCUCUAUCUUCAUGUUCACUACCACAAUUUUUUGCAUUUCUAUAUAUCUAAUCUAAUCUAAUCCAAUCCAAUUGGGUGCCCCUACAAAACAACUUGUUCAUUAAAGAAAGCAACUUCAAUUCCUGAAGAAGGUUAAGCAGACGGGUGGUGGGCUUUUCAAUCAAUGACUCAAAUCCACGUCACAUGGGCCCCACUAAGCAAUUUCACAUCGCCAUGCCAUAUAAAAUUAUAAAAAAUAAUGAAAAUAAAAUUGGUGCAAAAAAGUUGUAGGGUCCACGUCCCCAAUUGAGGGCCCAAGUUAUGGGCCACCCUCACGGAAGAAGUUAGAAGAAGAGCUGCGACAGCAGCUGAAUGGCCAGCGCGACGGUAACCAAACCCGCAAUUGCAUGUGAUGUAGUACGCGUGGACGACGAUGCUUCGCUUUGAUCGUACGAGGCACCUUCGUAUUCCAUUGUGUUGUUUAUCGGCUCCGGUGAGCUGCUUGUAGACGACGGUGU